RNAcentral lists this ribosomal RNA (472 nucleotides) under uncultured bacterium. RNAcentral's name for it is "bacterial SSU rRNA". It matches the Rfam family "Bacterial small subunit ribosomal RNA", at positions 32 to 508 of the family's 1533-position model. The record is from RNAcentral.
AAUCAACGCUGGCGGCAUGCCUAACACAUGCAAGUCGAGCGAGAAAGUGUAGCAAUACAUGAGUACAGCGGCGCACGGGUGAGUAACACGUGGAUAACCUGCCUCAAAGUGGGGAAUAACACCGGGAAACCGGUGCUAAUACCGCAUAUUCUGACGAGAUCUGCGGAUUUCGGCAGGAAAGGAGCAAUUCGCUAUGAGAGGGGUCCGCGGCUGAUUAGCUAGUUGGUGAGGUAAUGGCUCACCAAGGCUUCGAUCAGUAGCCGGUCUGAGAGGACGGUCGGCCACACUGGAACUGAGACACGGUCCAGACUCCUACGGGAGGCAGCAGUGGGGAAUUUUUCGCAAUGGGAGCAACCCUGACGAAGCAAUGCCGCGUGGAUGAUGAAGUAUCUCGGUACGUAAAAUCCUUUCGACGGGGACGAAACCGCAAGGUUGACGGUACCCGUAGAAGAAGCCCCGGCUAACUCCGUGC